This 348-nucleotide unclassified non-coding RNA is filed under the name soil metagenome. RNAcentral's name for it is "partial contains 5.8S ribosomal RNA, internal transcribed spacer 2, and large subunit ribosomal RNA". The stretch from base 1 to 120 matches the Rfam family "5.8S ribosomal RNA", at positions 35 to 154 of the family's 154-position model. The record is from RNAcentral.
GAUGAAGAACGUAGCGAAAUGCGAUAAGUAAUGUGAAUUGCAGAAUCCAGUGAAUCAUCGAAUCUUUGAACGCACAUUGCGCCCGCCAGUAUUCUGGCGGGCAUGCCUGUCUGAGCGUCAUUUCAACCCUCAUGCCCCUAGGGCGUGGUGUUGGGGAUCGGCCAAAGCCCGCGAGGGACGGCCGGCCCCUAAAUCUAGUGGCGGACCCGUCGUGGCCUCCUCUGCGAAGUAGUGAUAUUCCGCAUCGGAGAGCGAUGAGCCCCUGCCGUUAAACCCCCAACUUUCCAAGGUUGACCUCAGAUCAGGUAGGAAUACCCGCUGAACUUAAGCAUAUCAAUAAGCGGAGGA